RNAcentral lists this long non-coding RNA (2147 nucleotides) under Rhipicephalus microplus (southern cattle tick). Its description in RNAcentral is "uncharacterized LOC119182967". The record is from RNAcentral. Lineage: Eukaryota; Metazoa; Arthropoda; Arachnida; Ixodida; Ixodidae.
GUGUGUGUGUGUGUGUGUGUGUGUGUGUGUGUGUGUGUGUGUGUGUGUGUGUGUGUGUGUUUAGCGAUGGACAACUCUUGAACACUGGGUGUCACUGAAGUUAGCGACCGAAUUUGGUCAAAUGUAUUUCUCAUCUCAAACCUCUAUCUUCCCAUACAGCUUUGUUCGUUUCUGUAUAAGCUUACUUAAGGUAAUUAGAAACGUUACGCCGGUAACGAAAUGUGGCGAUUAACUGUUCACUCUAUAUAGGGCUGGCAGGCGGUCGGGUAUAAUGACAUAAUUGAAGUCCUUCGUGCAAUGAGCCCAUCGGCUCUGUGAGGGUUAAGAGACCCAGCCGGUGAAACCGAAAUGAGGAACCUGGAAUAAUCAGCGACAGAUACUCUAUUUAUGUGCGUGCUGCAUCUGAGAUUACAUCAUGCAUGACAAAGAUUCGUUUUGGAGAAUGCAAAAGAACAAAAACCACUGAAGUCAUCGUCGUCAACGGCGGAGUCAUUGUACAGGUUAGAGGUUUGCGCUCUAAACCAAGACCAAGGCGCUCAAGUGCGCCUCGGUUUCGGCUCUGUCGUAUUGGGUCGCGCUUCGUUACUGAGCAGCCAUUAGGAAAUUCAGCUUUGUUAUGAAACCUUGUAUAGCCAAUGAGCUCUUCGAAUAAAGGGCUUCAAGUAUGCCACUGGACUCGACCACGUACCAUCACUAAACAUCAAUCGACGAAUGUAGUCAUCUAAAAAGACAUUUACAAAGGCUGCGAGAAAAUAUGAAAAUGCACUAAAUGGGUAUACAGGUACUUCCCCAGAAUAAAAUCGUGGCUAUGCUUUUUCUUAACCUCCCCAUUUGGCUUGUUACAUUUUGGAAAAAUUAAUUACAAAAAAGGUGUUAUGGACUGUUAUUUUGCAAUCUUGCUAGCCAUGCGUAUACGCCUUUACCUUUGAUGAAGGUUCAGGAAAGCAUCGCUGGGAGCCCAGCGACCGGUCGAAGGUAUGCAGCCUGCAUUUUACCGCUGAAGAUUACAGAACAGUGACGAAAAGGAAGAUGUUGAAGCCCACAGCCGUGCCUUCCUUAUUUCCCGCUUCUCCUGAUCCACGUGGGCAAGAUCCAAUGCCGCGGAAAAAGCGGCUAAAACGAACGCAGGGGGAAACAACGCUGGCACCCAUACAAGUAAAAAUACUGGGAACGUCCAACGCAGAUUCUUCUCAAGAAGAGCGAGCAUCAGCGGAGCCUGGGGAAGUAUAUAGUUCUGAAAACCCAAUUGAAACUGCACAAGAGGCCGAGUGGUUGCAUUUUCCAUCAAGUCAGGACAACAUGGAGGACUGUAGUUCAGUUAUACAAGGGGAACACCAGAAGAGGCCAGUGCGGCGCUCCAUGACGUCGCAAACGUCGAUCGGUUUGAAGAAGAUGCGCUCCCUGGUCGCGGCAACUAAGACGUUGCGGCGGAAGUGCAGCAGGCUGAAAGAAAUGAACAGUAAUUUGCAUUCACAGCUAGAGAAGCUAAAGAAAGAUUUUUUCGAGAUGAAAGCCCUCGCCGAGGCGAAUGGCGCUCUAACGCUGCAGGUACGCAGUUACGUCAGUGGACGAAUGUUAUAUUAAUCCUUUUAUAUUCGCACUUAAUUUUAAAUGACUCUGAACAUAAUAACAAUUUAGGAGUAAGUCAAUUCUAUCAACAUCACCCGUACUACGAGAGGACGUCCGGUGAGCGAAGGAAUUCUCGAAACUAUAAGAGAUUGUAAAGGUGGCGAUGCUACCCUUAAGUUCUCGCGCAUCGGCUAGCAGUGACGUCAUACUUUGACGGCCUCAGGUAAUGUCUAAGACUGCUGUGUUAGUAGAUGCAAGGUCUGAAGUAGCAAGUUUCAAAGAAAUGUUCUCAGCCAAUGCGGCCAAGUACACAAGGAGCGACGCAACAUAAAGCGACGUGCACGUGUCGAAGAUUGUUCGCCAAACUCAGAACAUUAAACCUAGUCUUAAUUUUUUCUGUUCUAAUAGUCGUAUGAUCGGAACAGGAACGAUAGAGAAUUAUCAGGUACUCAUUUAUCAGUCUAUUAACUUAGUGUCCCUAUACUUUUUUGUAAGAAACGUCAGAAAGGGGAGGAUGGAAGCUUGCAGUAAAAAACCUGUGAACAGGGGUUGUUCCCAUUCUUUAAUCGCUGUUUACA